Molecule: non-coding RNA, 99 nt
Organism: Hordeum vulgare subsp. vulgare (domesticated barley)
Lineage: Eukaryota; Viridiplantae; Streptophyta; Magnoliopsida; Poales; Poaceae
Source: Rfam
AUGGAAGUGAGUAUCCAUUCCCCAGCUUAUCGACUAUGCUUAUACUGUGCGCAAAUGUAAUCAUUUAUCAGAGUAUUCCAAGCCAGAAAUCUGAUCCAU